This is a long non-coding RNA of Cephus cinctus (wheat stem sawfly), 2687 nucleotides long. RefSeq lists it as uncharacterized. The transcript is spliced from 6 exons. NCBI's taxonomy places the organism in Eukaryota, Metazoa, Arthropoda, Insecta, Hymenoptera, Cephidae. The record is from RefSeq and is a predicted model, not a curated record.
GUAGUGCGCGGGAUAUAUCGUGUCCGGGUGAAACAAAAGUUCGAAAACGCGUUACUACUUGUCGGUGCAUUAACCUAAUCACAGAGGGUUGAAAAAGGGAGGCUGACUUUUCGUUUUUUAAGACCCACGCUUUCCCGUGAUGCCUCUUCGGCAUCUCUUAUUCUCUACUCGUCUCGUCACGGCCGUCCUUUUCCUUCUCCACUUCCAUCGCAAUGAGCACGGAACACGUUCCUGACACGCGUCUAUAAUAAAACCACCUACUACUUCACUGCCCGCUCCGACUGCGUUCCACUGCCAGCAAGACCCUAAGUGGGGCUGACUCUGCAAGAAUUUUAUUUUUGUGCUCCCAAAACAUCAACCCAUCCGACCACGUCCAGACUGCCAACGAAUGGCUUCAACGACCAAGUUGCACUGUGAAGGCAAACUGUCCUGGAUAUUUUUUUUGGUAUUCCAGUGUAACUUUCAAAGAUCUUCCCAUUAAUGCAGAGAUACUCAAGAGGGACGAUGGACGUGGAAAAAUAUUGUAGACCGUCAUACUGUAAACAGUAAUGCAGUAAGGUGUCAGUAAUUGAUAAUAAAUAUUUUAUUGUAUGUCUCAAUACUCAUUACGGAUUCAAUAGUCAAUUAGGAACCUCGUCGGUAUUGAUUUUACGAUCGUGAUCUAAUAUAGAUAAAAUACUGCCACCGAGUGAACGCAAGAAUAAGAGAAACCCUGAAUAAACAGAUCCUGACUGUCAAAUCCCAAGAGAGCCGUAUAUUCGUCCGGGAAAAACUUGAGGAUUUCCAGUCACGAAAUUACAUCCGUCGCUCAGCCCUUUAACCGAAUGGAGAAUUUUUCUGCAUUUUAAGGAAACAAAUGCUUCUGGGUGUGUCCCGUGCCUCGUGGGAUGUCAGCCGAUUGGCAGUACUUGACUUCUUGUUUACAGUAAAAAUUAACAUGUGCUCAGCAUGUUAUACGGGUGUCUUGAUACUUCCCAGGAUAAUACACUUGCCUGUAACGUAUAAGAGGAAAGUUUGGUUUUGGUGUAUUAGAAAAAUUUUCCAGCGAUUGAAUCAGCUGAUUUGCGUCUCGCGGACGACCCCAUCUUUAUGUCUGUAUUAACAUUGAGCAUUAAUGGUUCGGACGGCCAUUAGUAAAGGGAGUCAAAAGCUCAGGGUCUUCAAUGACGAUAGUCAUUAGUCGCUAUUGCCUCUUUGCUCCGUACAUACAAAAGCUUAAGCAGGCAGUUAGACCAUAUUGGUAAUGUCAGAAAUAAAAAAAGAAAAUUUUAAGCUCGUAAUGGCUGUACUGUUAACCAACGAGGUAGAAUUAAAUGACCCGGUCAACUCGUCACGGGUAAUUAACGCUCGACUUGAAGGAAAGUGAAAUUUCACUGAGAUCUAUGGGCUUCGAUAAUUGAAUGGGCGAUCAACCGUUUUACGGUCAAGGUGUAACGCCUCAAUCAACAUAGAUAAUACAGUCAACCUAAAGCGGCCGUUUGUGCUCGACAAAUUGGUUCCAGUUUUUAUGAAUUUACGCGCGGGAAGUCACAUUAUUUUUGUAAGAUUAGAAACUUCAGUCAUCGGCAACAUUAAUUAAGAUAUAAUUUAUUUGUGUUUCAGCCUGCACCAGCUUCUUCUACCAUCUAUCGCGGAUAAGAGCUCGUGAAGCAAAAGCGAAAAACCAAAUGGUUUUUAGCUAGCAAUAACUUCAGGGGCAAAUUUGAAAACAAACAUCUCAACCCACCUGGUCCAAAUCUCCCGAACAGACAGCAAACACAGAACGUAAUCCCGACGAUCAGUGGCAGCUCUAAACUCAAGAUUACGUUCGUGAAGCUAAACCGGGGUAAUCCGGAAUUGCGGGAUGUAAGGGAUGCGCCAUGUAGAAACGAUGUCAGAGACCCAGGCGGCGAGUAGAGCAAACCUCCUGACGUAAACGACAUAACGAGGAGUAACGUGACUCUUAUAUAGAGUCUAUAUAUAUAUUAUAUAUGGAAAUAUAGGAAGGCAAGAUACAAGUAUAUAUAUCGUACAUAUAUAUAGUGUGUAUAUAUAUACGUAAGAUGACUGUAGAGUAUGUAGAACUCAGCUUACAUCGUGUAGCAUCGGAAGUGUGGAACAAAAUAUAAAGGAGCUAAAGGGUACGGAGGUUACAGGACGAGAGAGCAUAUAGAGCGGUAUAGUAGAUGGAGGAUGAAGGAAGAAGAGUGAAGUUAGGUUAGGUGAAACGCGCACGACCCAGGACGGUAGCGAACCCGCACCUAGAACAAGAGCGGUAAAAAUAAAUCGAUAGGCGGAGUUUUUCGUGACGCGCCGCGAGAGGCGCUGGGGGUGGGGAGAGCAAUAGGCGGAGUCUGGCUGAUUUAGGGCCGCCAUUUUGUGACAAUGCACGAGAGGGGGAAUGCCUAUCUGAUUGGCUGAUCUACGGACUUCUCUCGUCCUCGACAAGCUUCUACAGAUUGUUCGGUUGUACUCCGCCGGCACUCCAGCCACCCGGCCGCACGGCAACCGAGCCACCCCAAUACGACUGCCGUACCAAUACCAAUAUCACCAUGAUCAGAGCAGACCUUCUAUCACGUGCCUUAUAUAUUCUGUGGACUACGCUCACCCCUGUAGAGUAGAGAGCUACCCUUGACGUUACUAUUACUAUUACCUUACAGUAUUCUUCGUACUGUAUGUUGUCGAGUAUAGUAACGCUCUCGAAAUUG